GCAGAGGCUGUAUGUGUUCCAGUCCCAGGGCGUGAGUACGACAGAGCCAAGGGCAGGAGCCCUGGGGAAGCUGAUUACCCUGCCCGUCCUGAUCCGGCCCGGCCAGAUCACCAGCUCCUUCAUCGUCCGCUGGUGGUGGACAGGGAGAACCGGGCAGCAGGAAAUCCACACAGUGUCCAGAUUCACCACGAACCUGCUGAGAGGUCCCAAGUGAGGCCAGAAAGUCUGCAGGCCGCCUCCUCUGGUCCUGAGUUGAUCUAAAGCUGCUCCACCCAAGCUGGGGAUGUCAUGAAAGUGCCAGUUUACGCAGUGACAGCUCCCGGUUGUGCAUGUAGGUGCGCCCAUCACCACCACAGUCAAUUCUAGAGCAUUCUUACCCGAAGAAGGAGCCUUAAGCAUCACCCACUCAUUCUGCUUCCCCUCAGUUCCUAAUAACCACUCAUCUACUUUCCUUUCCGUCUCUAUGGAUUUACCUAUUCUGGACAUUUCAUAUAAAUGGAAUCAUCUAAUAUGCGGCUUUUUUGUGUGUCUAGCUUCUUUCAUGAGGCGUACUGUUUUCAAGGUUCAUCCACACUGUAGCAGGUGACAGACCUUCUUUCCUUUCUAUGCUGAGUAAUAUCCCAUCAUGAGGAUAGACCACAUUUUGUUUAUCUGUUCAUCAGUUGAUGGACAUUUGGGUUUUUAUGCUGUUUGGCUAUUAUGAGUAAUGUUGCUACGAGUGUUCGUGUCAGCAAGUUUGUGAAAUAUUGCGUUUCUUUUGGGACCACAAGUAGAAAAUGUGCAAAUGUCCUUAAGAGAACCAUGGGCACCGUCUGGCCUGCUCACCAGGAGAGCUUGGGUCAUGAAUUCUUUCCAGAGAGAGAAGGGACCUCUGUGCACAGAGAGGGGGUGCCUCUUAAGCGUCGGGGACCCUAGCAACAGUCCUCUAAUGGUCAAUGUUUUUGCAAAAUUUGCAAAAGUGAGAUAUUCAACAACAAUCAGUUAAAUAUUGCUUCUUUCCCUUUGGACACCCCCUCCAAUUCACUCCCCCUCCUGUGGGGGGGGGUCCUGCAUGACAAUGGCUGCGGGCCAUGCUUGGGGACUGGGGAGGGGACAGGGAGCUGUGUUUCCUGGCAUGCAUUUAUAUGGGCCAUAGCCAAGUCUGUUCUGUUAAGUGUCUGCAGACAAGCCUUCCAGAAAUGCUUCCACCACUCACUGCAGCUCACCCCACAUGGCGACGAGGCGUAGGGUCAGAGAGGGUGCAGCCAGAUGUAGGAGAAAGAAUGCCAGCAGCCUGCCGGCCAGCUGAUUCACUUUUAAAUGAUUUUUUUUAAGUUUUUAUUUAUUUAAACAAAAUGUUUUUAUGGCCCCCCGCUUUGGGAUGACUUCUAGUACCAUGGGGGGCGGCAAGAGAAUGAGGUUGCCGUGGGUCCCGCGGUGUUGGAGGCGCCUGUGAGAACACCUGGCGGGAGGUCCCGGGGAGAGCAGGAGGAGCUCAGUGAAGACAAGUCUGGGCGCGGUGUCCACGGGGGGGCCCGGCAUGCGGGUGCUUAUUAACGCUGGGGAGGAAAUGAGUCACGGGGAGAGACAGUGUGGGGGAGAAGUGCGGGCUGGGCUUCCUCACCAGGAGGUGGCCAGAGGGCGGAUGGAGGGUCCUCUGGGUUUAGCAACAAGGAAGCCAUUGGUGACCUUGGCAAGAGCAGUGUCAGUGGCUAGAGUCAGGCUGAGGACAAAUCCAGAGUUUGGGGGACACAUGGGGUGCCAUGGUGGGAGGAACCCAAGGUGAUUGGGGAGAAGGAUUUUCAAAGAUGCUAAGUGCCAGGGCGCCUGGGUGGCUCAGCUGGUUAAGCGACUGCCUUCGGCUCAGGUCAUGAUCCUAGAGUCCCUGGAUCGAGCCCCGCA
This is a long non-coding RNA of Mirounga angustirostris (Northern elephant seal), 1881 nucleotides long. RefSeq lists it as uncharacterized. NCBI's taxonomy places the organism in Eukaryota, Metazoa, Chordata, Mammalia, Carnivora, Phocidae. The transcript is spliced from 3 exons. The record is from RefSeq and is a predicted model, not a curated record.